Molecule: non-coding RNA, 28 nt
Filed under: Mus musculus (house mouse)
Lineage: Eukaryota; Metazoa; Chordata; Mammalia; Rodentia; Muridae
Also listed under: 1 other name
Source: RNAcentral
UCAGAGGUUCACAACUUGGCUUCUAGGC